GGGAUCUCAGAGUAUUCUCCGUAUCUGAAUUGUAUUGACACUUGUCGCGCUUGUGAUGCAUUUUUAGGUGGGGGUGCAAAGUAGUGGAUUAUAAACCCUUAGGUGGGUUACGUCACGCGGAUUCGAAAAAUGGAAUUGAAGUGAAUUGAGCAGAGUUUUACUGGCGUCCGCCACAUGUUGUUGCCUUGUUAGGGGGAAUGA
This is a long non-coding RNA of Arabidopsis thaliana (thale cress), 201 nucleotides long. RefSeq annotates it as other RNA. NCBI's taxonomy places the organism in Eukaryota, Viridiplantae, Streptophyta, Magnoliopsida, Brassicales, Brassicaceae. The record is from RefSeq. The transcript has a single exon.